This is a non-coding RNA of Podarcis lilfordi (Lilford's wall lizard), 66 nucleotides long. The record is from the annotation of a GenBank genome assembly. NCBI's taxonomy places the organism in Eukaryota, Metazoa, Chordata, Lepidosauria, Squamata, Lacertidae.
GUAGCUCAUUGGUAGAGCAACGGCCUUGCAUGCAGAAGGUCCCUGGUUCAAUCCCCAGCAUCCCCA